AAACUUAAAUGAAUUGACGGGGGCCCGCACAAGCAGCGGAGCGUGUGGUUUAAUUCGAUGACACGCGAAGAACCUCACCCAGGUUUGACAUGCAUGUGGUACUGAUGUGAAAGCUGAGGGACCCUUCGGGGAGCAUGCACAGGUGUUGCACGGCCGUCGUCAGCUCGUGCCGUGAGGUGUUGGGUUAAGUCCCGCAACGAGCGCAACCCCUGUCGCCAGUUGUACUUUUCUGGCGAGACUGCCGAGAAAACCUCGGAGGAAGGAGGGGACGAUGUCAGGUCAGCGUGGCCCUUACGCCUGGGGCUACACACACGCUACAAUGGGCAGUACAACGGGUCGCGAAGCCGCGAGGCGGAGCUAAUCCCAUCAAAGCUGUCCUCAGUUCGGAUUGUAGGCUGAAACCCGCCUGCAUGAAGCCGGAGUUGCUAGUAACCGCAGGUCAGCAUUACUGCGGUGAAUACGUUCCCGGGCCUUGUACACACCGCCCGUCACGUCAUGAAAGUUGGUAACACC
RNAcentral lists this ribosomal RNA (513 nucleotides) under uncultured Chloroflexota bacterium. Its description in RNAcentral is "bacterial SSU rRNA". It matches the Rfam family "Bacterial small subunit ribosomal RNA", at positions 897 to 1421 of the family's 1533-position model. The record is from RNAcentral. Lineage: Bacteria; Bacillati; Chloroflexota.